UACGUAGGGUGCGAGCGUUGUCCGGAAUUAUUGGGCGUAAAGAGCUCGUAGGCGGUGUGUCACGUCGGCCGUGAAAACCUGCAGCUUAACUGUGGGCGUGCGGUCGAUACGGGCAUCACUGGAGUUCGGCAGGGGAGACUGGAAUUCCUGGUGUAGCGGUGAAAUGCGCAGAUAUCAGGAGGAACACCGGUGGCGAAGGCGGUUCUCUGGGCCUGUACUGACGCUGAGGAGCGAAAGCGUGGGGAGCGAACAGG
Molecule: ribosomal RNA, 254 nt
Filed under: uncultured bacterium
Lineage: Bacteria
Description: partial 16S ribosomal RNA
Rfam family: Bacterial small subunit ribosomal RNA
Source: RNAcentral